This 301-nucleotide ribosomal RNA is filed under the name uncultured bacterium. Its description in RNAcentral is "partial 16S ribosomal RNA". It matches the Rfam family "Bacterial small subunit ribosomal RNA", at positions 509 to 808 of the family's 1533-position model. The record is from RNAcentral.
CAGCCGCCACGGGAAUACAGAGGGUGCGAGCGUUAAUCGGAUUUACUGGGCGUAAAGCGUGCGUAGGCGGCUUCUUAAGUCGGAUGUGAAAUCCCUGAGCUUAACUUAGGAAUUGCAUUCGAUACUGGGAAGCUAGAGUAUGGGAGAGGAUGGUAGAAUUCCAGGUGUAGCGGUGAAAUGCGUAGAGAUCUGGAGGAAUACCGAUGGCGAAGGCAGCCAUCUGGCCUAUACUGACGCUGAGGUACGAAAGCAUGGGGAGCAAACAGGAUUAGAUACCCCUGUAGUCCCUGUCUCUUAUACA